AUUGAACGCUGGCGGCAUGCUUUACACAUGCAAGUCGAACGGUAACAGGCCGCAAGGUGCUGACGAGUGGCGAACGGGUGAGUAAUGCAUCGGAACGUGCCCAGUCGUGGGGGAUAACUACUCGAAAGAGUAGCUAAUACCGCAUACGAUCUAUGGAUGAAAGCGGGGGACCGUAAGGCCUCGCGCGAUUGGAGCGGCCGAUGUCAGAUUAGGUAGUUGGUGGGGUAAAGGCUCACCAAGCCAACGAUCUGUAGCUGGUCUGAGAGGACGACCAGCCACACUGGGACUGAGACACGGCCCAGACUCCUUCGGGAGGCAGCAGUGGGGAAUUUUGGACAAUGGGCGCAAGCCUGAUCCAGCAAUGCCGCGUGCAGGAAGAAGGCCUUCGGGUUGUAAACUGCUUUUGUACGGAACGAAACGGCUCUGGUUAAUACCCGGGGCUAAUGACGGUACCGUAAGAAUAAGCACCGGCUAACUACGUG
This 482-nucleotide ribosomal RNA is filed under the name uncultured bacterium. RNAcentral describes it as "partial 16S ribosomal RNA". It matches the Rfam family "Bacterial small subunit ribosomal RNA", at positions 30 to 507 of the family's 1533-position model. The record is from RNAcentral.